AGCGAACGCUGGCGGCAGGCUUAACACAUGCAAGUCGAGCGGGCAUCCUUGUGGUGUCAGCGGCAGACGGGUGAGUAACGCGUGGGAACGUGCCCUUCGGUUCGGAAUAACUCAGGGAAACUUGAGCUAAUACCGGAUACGUGCGAGAGCAGAAAGGUUUAUCUGCCGAAGGAUCGGCCCGCGUCUGAUUAGCUAGUUGGUGAGGUUAUGGCUCACCAAGGCGACGAUCAGUAGCUGGUCUGAGAGGAUGAUCAGCCACACUGGGACUGAGACACGGCCCAGACCCCUACGGGAGGCAGCAGGGGGGAAUAUUGGAAAAGGGGGGCAACCCUGAUCCAGCCAUGCCGCGUGAGGGAUGACGGCCUUAGGGUUGUAAAGCCCUUUUCUUCGGGACGAUAAUGACGGUACCGGAGGAAUAAGCCCCGGCUAACUUCGU
RNAcentral lists this ribosomal RNA (436 nucleotides) under uncultured bacterium. RNAcentral's name for it is "partial 16S ribosomal RNA". It matches the Rfam family "Bacterial small subunit ribosomal RNA", at positions 29 to 506 of the family's 1533-position model. The record is from RNAcentral.